AGCGAACGCUGGCGGCAGGCCUAACACAUGCAAGUCGAACGAAGUCUUCGGACUUAGUGGCGGACGGGUGUGUAACACGUGGGAACGUGCCUUUAGGUUCGGAAUAACUCAGGGAAACUUGUGCUAAUACCGAAUGUGCCCUUCGGGGGAAAGAUUUAUCGCCUUUAGAGCGGCCCGCGUCUGAUUAGCUAGUUGGUGAGGUAAAGGCUCACCAAGGCGACGAUCAGUAGCUGGUCUGAGAGGAUGAUCAGCCACAUUGGGACUGAGACACGGCCCAAACUCCUACGGGAGGCAGCAGUGGGGAAUCUUGCGCAAUGGGCGAAAGCCUGACGCAGCCAUGCCGCGUGAAUGAUGAAGGUCUUAGGAUUGUAAAAUUCUUUCACCGGGGACGAUAAUGACGGUACCCGGAGAAGAAGCCCCGGCUAACUUCGUGCCAGCCGCCGCGGUAA
Molecule: ribosomal RNA, 449 nt
Filed under: uncultured bacterium
Lineage: Bacteria
Description: partial 16S ribosomal RNA
Rfam family: Bacterial small subunit ribosomal RNA
Source: RNAcentral